UCAGCAUGUGUGUUAGUGGAAGCGUCUGGAAAGGCGCGCGAUACAGGGUGACAGCCCCGUACACAAAAGCGCAUGUGCUGUGAGCUCGAUGAGUAGGGCGGGACACGUGGUAUCCUGUCUGAAUAUGGGGGGACCAUCCUCCAAGGCUAAAUACUCCUGACUGACCGAUAGUGAACCAGUACCGUGAGGGAAAGGCGAAAAGAACCCCGGCGAGGGGAGUGAAAAAGAGCCUGAAACCGUGUACGUACAAGCAGUGGGAGCACCCUUCGGGGUGUGACUGCGUACCUUUUGUAUAAUGGGUCAGCGACUUAUAUUCUGUAGCAAGGUUAACCGUAUAGGGGAGCCGGAGGGAAACCGAGUCUUAACCGGGCGUUAAGUUGCAGGGUAUAGACCCGAAACCCGGUGAUCUAGCCAUGGGCAGGUUGAAGGUUGGGUAACACUAACUGGAGGACCGAACCGACUAAUGUUGAAAAAUUAGCGGAUGACCUGUGGCUGGGGGUGAAAGGCCAAUCAAACCGGGAGAUAGCUGGUUCUCCCCGAAAGCUAUUUAGGUAGCGCCUCGUGAAUUCAUCUCCGGGGGUAGAGCACUGUUUCGGCUAGGGGGCCAUCCCGGCUUACCAACCCGAUGCAAACUGCGAAUACCGGAGAAUGUUAUCACGGGAGACACACGGCGGGUGCUAACGUCCGUCGUGAAGAGGGAAACAACCCAGACCGCCAGCUAAGGUCCCAAAGUCAUGGUUAAGUGGGAAACGAUGUGGGAAGGCCCAGACAGCCAGGAUGUUGGCUUAGAAGCAGCCAUCAUUUAAAGAAAGCGUAAUAGCUCACUGGUCGAGUCGGCCUGCGCGGAAGAUGUAACGGGGCUAAACCAUGCACCGAAGCUGCGGCAGCGAACGUAUCACCCAAGACAACUUUACGGAGUUGACGAUUGACGGAGCGAAGCGACGUCAAAGCGUUCAUUAAAGUCGAGUUGGCUUAGGGAUACGUUCGUUGGGUAGGGGAGCGUUCUGUAAGCCUGUGAAGGUGUGUCGUGAGGCAUGCUGGAGGUAUCAGAAGUGCGAAUGCUGACAUAAGUAACGAUAAAGCGGGUGAAAAGCCCGCUCGCCGGAAGACCAAGGGUUCCUGUCCAACGUUAAUCGGGGCAGGGUGAGUCGACCCCUAAGGCGAGGCCGAAAGGCGUAGUCGAUGGGAAACGGGUUAAUAUUCCCGUACUUGGUGUUACUGCGAAGGGGGGACGGAGAAGGCUAUGUUGGCCGGGCGACGGUUGUCCCGGUUUAAGCGUGUAGGUGUGUGUUCCAGGUAAAUCCGGUU
Molecule: ribosomal RNA, 1308 nt
Filed under: Salmonella enterica subsp. enterica serovar Typhimurium
Lineage: Bacteria; Pseudomonadati; Pseudomonadota; Gammaproteobacteria; Enterobacterales; Enterobacteriaceae
Description: partial 23S ribosomal RNA
Rfam family: Bacterial large subunit ribosomal RNA
Source: RNAcentral